RNAcentral lists this ribosomal RNA (440 nucleotides) under uncultured bacterium. RNAcentral's name for it is "partial 16S ribosomal RNA". It matches the Rfam family "Bacterial small subunit ribosomal RNA", at positions 338 to 795 of the family's 1533-position model. The record is from RNAcentral.
CCUACGGGAGGCAGCAGUGGGGGAUAUUGCACAAUGGGGGAAACCCUGAUGCAGCGACGCCGCGUGGGUGAAGAAGCGCCUCGGCGCGUAAAGCCCUGUCAGCAGGGAAGAAAAUGACGGUACCUGAAGAAGAAGCCCCGGCUAACUAGGUGCCAGCAGCCGCGGUAAUACGUAGGGGGCAAGCGUUAUCCGGAUUUACUGGGUGUAAAGGGGGCGCAGACGGCGAUGCAAGCCAGGAGUGAAAGCCCGGGGCCCAACCCCGGGGCUGCUCUUGGAACUGCGUGGCUAGAGUGCAGGAGGGGCAGGCGGAAUUCCUGGUGUAGCGGUGAAAUGCGUAGAUAUCAGGAGGAACGCCGGUGGCGAAGGCGGCCUGCUGGACUGCAACUGACGUUGAGGCCCGAAAGCGUGGGGAGCAAACAGGAUUAGAUACCCCUGUAGUC